UACGAAGGGGGCUAGCGUUGUUCGGAAUCACUGGGCGUAAAGGGCGCGUAGGCGGCUUUAUAAGUCGGGGGUGAAAGACUGUGGCUCAACCACAGAAUUGCCUUCGAUACUGUAGAGCUUGAGACCGGAAGAGGUAAGUGGAACUGCGAGUGUAGAGGUGAAAUUCGUAGAUAUUCGCAAGAACACCAGUGGCGAAGGCGGCUUACUGGUCCGGUUCUGACGCUGGGGUGCGAAAGCGUGGGGAGCAAACAGG
RNAcentral lists this ribosomal RNA (253 nucleotides) under uncultured bacterium. RNAcentral's name for it is "partial 16S ribosomal RNA". It matches the Rfam family "Bacterial small subunit ribosomal RNA", at positions 524 to 776 of the family's 1533-position model. The record is from RNAcentral.